AACGAACGCUGGCGGCAUGCCUAACACAUGCAAGUCGAACGAGACCUUCGGGCCUAGUGGCGCACGGGUGCGUAACGCGUGGGAAUCUGCCCUUGGGUUCGGAAUAACAGUUGGAAACGACUGCUAAUACCGGAUGAUGACGUACGUCCAAAGAUUUAUCGCCCAAGGAUGAGCCCGCGUAGGAUUCGCUAGUUGGUGAGGUAAAGGCUCACCAAGGCGACGAUCCUUAGCUGGUCGGAGAGGAGGACAAGCCACACUGGGGAUGAGGCACGGCCUAGACUCGUACGCAGGGGUGCAGUGGGGAGUAUUGGACACGGGGGGCAAGCGUGACAAAGCAAUGCGGGGGGAGAGGUGAAGGGCGUAGGGUUGUGAAGCCCUUUUAGCCGGGAUGAUAAUGACGGUACCGGGAGAAGAAGCACCGGCUAACUACGUG
Molecule: ribosomal RNA, 433 nt
Filed under: uncultured bacterium
Lineage: Bacteria
Description: partial 16S ribosomal RNA
Rfam family: Bacterial small subunit ribosomal RNA
Source: RNAcentral